CCCUUAGAUGUUCUGGGCCGCACGCGUGCUACACUGAGUGGAUCAGCGGGUCAGGUUGCGCGAAAGCGUUUCCUAAUCUUUAAAUCCGCUCGUGAUGGGGAUUGACGGUUGCAAUUUUCUGUCAUGAACGAGGAAUACCUUGUAAGCGCGGGUCAUCAUCCCGCGCUGAAUACGUCCCUGCCCUUUGUACACACCGCCCGUCGCUCCUACCGAUUGAGUGGUCCAGUGAGGCUUUGGGAUCUGAGCGGAAAGAGCGUUUCGCUGUUUCUGCUCGGAAAACUCAGUCGAACCUUAUCAUUUAGAGGAAGGAGAAGUCGUAACA
This 322-nucleotide ribosomal RNA is filed under the name uncultured eukaryote. RNAcentral's name for it is "partial 18S ribosomal RNA". It matches the Rfam family "Eukaryotic small subunit ribosomal RNA", at positions 1470 to 1796 of the family's 1831-position model. The record is from RNAcentral.